RNAcentral lists this long non-coding RNA (1345 nucleotides) under Chinchilla lanigera (long-tailed chinchilla). RNAcentral's name for it is "lncRNA (ENSCLAG00000023270.1)". The record is from RNAcentral. Lineage: Eukaryota; Metazoa; Chordata; Mammalia; Rodentia; Chinchillidae.
UUAAGAUGUUUAAUAGUUUUUCAGUGUCUCCACAUUGGAAUCAGUGGUUAGCAGUCCACUCAGGCCUCAUGUGAUAUGAACUGAAGGAAGAAGAGAAUUAAAGAAAAACAAAACAAAAAGCAAAACAUCUCUUGGUGUUAUUCUCAGUAAUUUAAUAGCUCUACAAAGUAGAAAAUAAAUUGAGUUCAAAUUUUAAAAUAAUGCAUUACCGAUAAAGAAUCAAGAAAAUUUCAUUUACAUACAGAAAAUUAUAGUUUUUUAAAAUCUAUACAAAAUGUAUCUUUGGGGGACUCUAUCCUAAAAAAAUGACAUGGCACCAUCACAAAAGUGGUUCUGUUUCCUGACUGUAAUUUUUUUUCAAAAUGACUCUUUUGCAGGCUAAAGAGACAGGACAAUUAUUCAGACCUUUGUUUCCAUUUUUUAAAAACCCAGCAAUCAGAGUGAUCCUACUUAUUAAAACAAAGAAAAGGGUCAAUGUGUUCGAAUUGGAAACUAAAAGGAUUUCAUCUCUUAGCUAAACUUCCUGCUUCUAGAUGCCGGCACAUAAUGAUACUAAAAUUGACGGUGGAACUUCAGAGAGCUACCGAGACUAUGAAAUGAAAGGCCUCAUAAAGACAAGUGAUUAACUUAUUUAAAUUUUUUUACUUAUGCACUAAAAAAUAAGUCUUCUCUUAUUUCAGAUAUUACAAUCAAAAUCAUCCUCUAAUGAAAUACUUCUGGAUGUUAAACCACUACGUAUCUAAAAUACAGAAAACCUGGAAAAACCUGAAUGCAUUUUAUUGAAGAUAGAGUGGAAGAAAAACAUGCUGUUAAACUCAAGACUGUCCCAAAUAAUCAAGCCUUAAAUUAAGGAGACUCUCACAGGAGGGAGAAAUGAGCAAAUCAUUACUGAUUGGUUUGAGAGGAUGUUAUUUCAUGCUGUAUUUUACCUCUGGGAAAAGCAGAGAUAUGGAAAAGCUUCCUGAAGCCCCUUCGCUGACAUCUGGCAAGAGCACAAGCAGCUGUAUCCAUGCAUGUGUGAAACUAAAGACAUGGAAAGAAUUAACACCCUGAAUCCACUGCCGUUGGCAUAUCAAUCCAGACCCCAACUGCUGCUUCUUAAAAAUCAAAACCUCAGAAAAUGUGUUGAAAUGUCAAUUUGACUGCUUGAUAUUAAAGGAAACAUUUUAUAGCAAUAAAAAUGUUGCAUAUAGUAUAUUUGUCAACUUGAUCAUUUCCUUACCUAAUCUUGAUUCUGUAUGUUUUCCAAGACAAACACUAGUUUUAGGUUCCUUUGAGUGAUUCCAAAUUAAAUCAGUCAAAAAGUAAACAAAUAACAGCAACUUUUAGAAUCUGAAUGUUUCUU